GAGGAUCGAAGGACAAGGAAUCACCCGUGAAUAUUCCCUAUGUUGAAUUUUGCUAAAACAUUUUGGUGCUCUCGAAGAGAGAAUGAUGGAUAAACGCACCGGCAGGUGGUUCGAGAGGUCCCAAGCAGGUAGAGCAAGAACAGGAAGGCAAGGAGAAAGACAGUGUUGGCUAAGCAAAAUCUCACUGCCAGGUGCUUUGGGUCGAGGGGAUUAUGUGCCAACACAGGCUGUCCUACUUUCUGUUGGUUAGGUGUGCGUAG
RNAcentral lists this long non-coding RNA (260 nucleotides) under Prunus persica (peach). Its description in RNAcentral is "long non-coding RNA (PPER_LNC008014)". The record is from RNAcentral. Lineage: Eukaryota; Viridiplantae; Streptophyta; Magnoliopsida; Rosales; Rosaceae.